UACGGGGACAACCGGGGAAAUUCNAGAGCNAAUACAUGCCUGCAAACCCAACCCCGGGAAGGGUUGUGCGUAUUAGAAACUGGACUAACCCGCUCCGGCGGUCGCACGUUGAUUCAUAAUACUCCAGCAAAUCGCGUUGGCGAUGAAUCAUUCAAGUUUCNGACCUAUCCGCUUUCGAUGGNAGGGUAUUGGNCUACCAUGGCUNUGACGGGGAACGGANAAAUUANGGNUCAAUUCCGGAGAGGGAGCCCGAGAAACGGCUACCACAUCUCACGAAGGCAGCAGGNGCGUAAAUUACCCAAUCCUGAUACAGGGAGGUAGUGACGAGAAAUACCAAUACNAAGCAUCUUUGCNCUGUAAUUGGAAUGAGAACAAUCUAAACCUAUUAACAAGUAUCCAUU
This 401-nucleotide ribosomal RNA is filed under the name uncultured marine alveolate. Its description in RNAcentral is "partial 18S ribosomal RNA". It matches the Rfam family "Eukaryotic small subunit ribosomal RNA", at positions 136 to 549 of the family's 1831-position model. The record is from RNAcentral.